This 300-nucleotide ribosomal RNA is filed under the name uncultured bacterium. RNAcentral's name for it is "bacterial SSU rRNA". It matches the Rfam family "Bacterial small subunit ribosomal RNA", at positions 1083 to 1382 of the family's 1533-position model. The record is from RNAcentral.
AGUCCCGCAACGAGCGCAACCCUUGUCUUUAGUUGCCAUCACGUCGUGGUGGGCACUCUAGAGAGACUGCCGGUGUCAAACCGGAGGAAGGUGGGGAUGACGUCAAGUCCUCAUGGCCUUUAUGAUCAGGGCUACACACGUACUACAAUGGCCGGUACAAAGGGCAGCGACAGGGCGACCUGAAGCGAAUCUCGUAAAGCCGGUCUCAGUCCGGAUUGGAGUCUGCAACUCGACUCCAUGAAGUUGGAAUCGCUAGUAAUCGUGGAUCAGCAUGCCACGGUGAAUACGUUCCCGGGCCUU